CAUGAGCUCCAUGGACGAGAAAGAGCUGACUCAGCAACCACCCACUGCCACCAACUGUCCCUACACUGAACUAGUCAAAAUCUUUGAGGAAGUCUCAAGAGGAGGCUGGGCCUAACUUCUUCUUUGAUCAGAGAGCUCUUGAUUCAGCUCAUCGCAAACAGAAGAGACAACAGGACGGAGGACCCCCAGAAAAGAGACGACCCCCUUCCCAGCCCAGGGGGCCGUGCUGGUUCUGUCUGGGUGGCAAGGAGGUGGAGAAACAUCUCGUGGUCUCCAUCGGAGAUAAUACGUACCUGGCUUUAUCCAAGGGUGGGAUGGUACCAGAGCAUGUGCUGGUCCUACCCAUCGGUCACUAUGCAGCCUCCACUGACGCACCACCAGUGAGUUC
This is a long non-coding RNA of Halichondria panicea, 388 nucleotides long. RefSeq lists it as uncharacterized. Lineage: Eukaryota; Metazoa; Porifera; Demospongiae; Suberitida; Halichondriidae. The transcript has 3 exons. The record is from RefSeq and is a predicted model, not a curated record.